CCAGACUCCUACGGGAGGCAGCAGUGAGGAAUAUUGGUCAAUGGGCGAGAGCCUGAACCAGCCAAGUCGCGUGAGGGAAGACGGUCCUAUGGAUUGUAAACCUCUUUUGUCGGGGAGCAAAAAGGCCUCGUGAGGCCACAAGUGAGAGUACCCGAAGAAAAAGCAUCGGCUAACUCCGUGCCAGCAGCCGCGGUAAUACGGAGGAUGCGAGCGUUAUCCGGAUUUAUUGGGUUUAAAGGGUGCGUAGGCGGAAGGUUAAGUCAGCGGUCAAAUGUCGGUGCUCAACACCGGCCUGCCGUUGAAACUGGUCUUCUUGAGUGAGCGAGAAGUAUGCGGAAUGCGUGGUGUAGCGGUGAAAUGCAUAGAUAUCACGCAGAACUCCGAUUGCGAAGGCAGCAUACCGGCGCUCAACUGACGCUGAGGCACGAAAGCGUGGGGAUCGAACAGGAUUAGAUACCCCAGUAC
Molecule: ribosomal RNA, 465 nt
Filed under: uncultured bacterium
Lineage: Bacteria
Description: bacterial SSU rRNA
Rfam family: Bacterial small subunit ribosomal RNA
Source: RNAcentral